Fukomys damarensis (Damara mole-rat) is the source of this 2443-nucleotide long non-coding RNA. The record is from Ensembl. Lineage: Eukaryota; Metazoa; Chordata; Mammalia; Rodentia; Bathyergidae.
GUGAGCUGCUCCAGCGCUGCGGGGACGCCGCGGUCAGCCGGCCGCCCUGGAUCAUUCUGCCCAGCCGCCCAACGAGCCCCAAUUCCCUCUUUCGGGCCGGGGCAGCUCUGCGGGUAACCAGGGAGGGACCCGCCGCCUGUGGCCCCAACUAGACCCAGGUCGCCUCAGGCCAUCGCCAGGCCUGGUCCUCAGUCAUCCCGUGGAGGGCUGGGGUUCCUGGCGACUGAACCCUUGUCCCUGUCUACACUGGAACUCGGGAUGCUUCUGCCUCCGCCUCAGAGGCAUGUGCCACCACACCUGGCCUCUCUCCUGACCGGGUUUCUGGGUCUCAGUUUUCUCUGGACUAAACCCGGGUCUCAGCUCACCAACCAGAGACAGCAAGGGCUGCGUCAGAUGUGCCGCAUGGCCUGUAGCAUCCGGAUGUGCUGUACCCUUGGGAGCCAAGGCUCAGGCUUGAGCUACCCCAGCCAUGGGCUCGAGAGCCAGUGUCUGACCCAGGCCAGUGCCCAGGGUUCCAGGUGCGCUUCGGACCCUCAGCCCCCAGCCCACCCCCAUGAACAGGAAUCUUCGUCUCCAUAUCCAGAGAGAGGCAGUGCCUGGCCAAGGAUGACACGGGAGUCAGUGGUUCAAACUCAAGCCCCAGCCUCCUGUCUGCCAACAGCAACGCUCUCCCCCUGUCUGUCACCUGUGAACACCAUGCCCUCCGAAGUCUUCCACGUGCAGAUUAGAGGGCUGCAGGGGGAGCCAGAGCUGAGGUGCGGGUGCCUUCGGUGCCUUCCUGAGUUGAAUUGGGACCCCACUAACCCCUCACACACAAGCUCGGGGUCCGCCCUCUCAGUACCUGGCAUCAGAGCCCGGAACAUCUUCCUCCACACCUGGAAUUUGAAGUCGUCUGAAAUGACAGGCAACUGGAUAUCCAGACGAGCAGGGGGUGGUGACUCUGCCAGGAUCUUCUGCAGCCUGCAGGCAAUAUUUCUGAGGAGAAAAAAAAAAAGAAUGGAGGUGAAGCAAGCCGGAAGGACUCUGGGGACUACUGAGAAUGUGAUGGGCCACCCAGAGCGUGGGGUCAGAAGGAUCAGAAAAGCCAAAAGGACCCCAGGACUCAAAGUCACCCCUAGCCCUGUGCCUCUAUGUGAAUUGAACACAGUACCUCCUCCCCAAGGAACUGGUGUUUCUGCUAGCAGGUCAUCCUGAUGUGCAUAUAAACCUACUCCUUCUGUAGUAUGAGUGACGUUCACUGGACCCAGUACCUCGCGCAGUGCCCAGUGCAAGCACGGCCCUGAGGCCCACCCCUCAACCUGUGACCUGGCUCACCCUUCCCUCUCUGGGCCUCAGUGCCUCCAUCUGACCACGGGAGAAGGUCUCUGGGGCCUCAGCCGGGCCAGGGCCAUGCUGCUCACCAUGAGGAACUCGGUCUGUGCUUUGUCGGCCACCUCGUCCAGCACCUUCUCCAUCUGCCGCAGCUGCUCCAGGUAGGAGUUCAGGCCUGCCAGCUCCCUCCGUAAGGCCACCCCAGCCUCGCCCCGAACUCGUUCUGCCUCCCGGUCCAAAGAGCCCUCCAGCGCGGCCAGGAACAGCCGCAUCUUGCCCAGCUGCUCCCCAACAGCCCCCCGGAACUGCCGCACCGUUUCCUGUAGGGGGCAGGCGAGCGCAUUGGUGAGCUGUCCUCAGCCUGGACCCCCUGCCCAUGUUCCCCAGCAGCCCUCACCUCCACCUCCACCAGCUGGUGCUCCAGCAGGGCCACACUCUUCUCCUUGCGCAUGCAGGCCUCCUGCAGCUGCAUCUUCUGCUGUGGGAGCUGAGUCUGGGAGCCAGGCAUAAGAAGAGACAGAGACGCUGACCACCCCAGCCCAGCCCCUAAACCUGCCCUCCGAGCUCAGCCUCAGUGCCAGAGCCUCCUGCAGCCUCAUCCCCAGACUCAGACCCUCCUCCAUGCCUCGGCCUGGCCAGCCUUGGUCCUGAGGUUCAGCUCCUCCCUGAUCCCACUCCCGGGCAGCCAGCCCCAGGGACGACCAGCUCCAGUGGGAUUUGGUCUCCCCACUGGACAGGCAAGCACAGUGCUUGUUGUUCACAGCAGGCUUCCCCACCGCAAGGCCUCACCCCUUACACGUGCCCAUCAGCCUCCCUGGGCCUGAACUCAGCCCCUGAACACUCGCGGCUUUCUAAAGGCAUCCUGAGUGGUCCAACAGCACAGAGUCCUACCCAGUGCCUGUUAGCUUGUGAUUCCCAGAAUGCGAGCAGAGGAGCCCUAAUAGUACUGCUGUGAAAGCUGCGUCUGUUGGAGGACAGGUACCUUCCUGACUCCUCGGCUUCCCGCCUCAGUUUACCCCUCUCCGGAGUGGGAGUAGCCCUGCCACCUCACUGGGGGAGCCUGGGAACGCCCACGGCCGUGCUCUGAGGGGUCGGGCCUCGCAGGUGCCGCAGGGCUGGGCCAUGCCGACCC